GCAAGUUUUCUGGAGCUAAGAAGGUAUGCAUAUAAUGAUUAUAACGAGUGAUGAUGCUGAGAAAUUAAUGGAUUUCUUUUCUUCAAGUGAGUGCUACACAUAAUUACUCUUCUUCUAUACGAAUUAGUCUUUUGAAUUACCCUAUAUAUAAGGUUGAAUCUCAUAUUCCUCAACCCUUAACUAAAAAUUUCGGGUUAGAGCUCUGAGAAUGAAGUCGUUUUUAAUAAGAAAUACAUUAUCUAAAGUGAUAUUACCAUGCAUGAAUUCGAUUAACCCAUCCAAAUUAGUACUGGAUGGAUAAAAAAGAUAGUAUAAUCUCUAAACAAUUUUAAUUUGGUUGUAGUGUUACACCGCAACAAUGCAAAAGUGAUUUCUAAAUCACAGGCCACAAACAAAGUUUUGCAGAGGCUCCAAUAACACCCUUAUCUUUUUUGUUACCCCUACUGUUCUCCAUCUCUUACUAUAUAAAAAUAUCCUCAUUAUGGGACUUCGAUCUCACUUGUAAAUAACGGUGGAUUGAAGAGUUCAGAUGAAAGUGCAACAUUUUCUAUGUGUUUGAUUCUUUUUACAUGGCCACAUUGUGUACUUAAAUACUAGGAGAGGAGCCAAAGAUUCAAAGAAAGGCGGUAAAGGGUAAAUUAUGAGAAGGUGACGAGUGAUUUGGAGGAGAGAUGAACGGAAAAUGUUAAAAAGGGGGAAACACAUGGAAUAAAGAAAAUUUUGAAAAGAAGAUAAGAUAAGUUUUACAAAAAAAACUUCUUUAAUGAAGUGGUGCAACAUUUCUAAUAUUGUCGAGAGGAAAAAAAACUAAUUUUCUUUUCAUAAAAAUUCUGAAGUAAAAGAAAAUAGUUAUGUGGUGAUUGUAAUGUCAUGGCUACUUCUUUUUAUUUUUCCUUAAGAUUAUGUUGGGUUUUAUUUUUUAGUUUCGGUUUUAAAUAUAAGUUUGUGAAAUACUUUUGAGUUGAAAUUAUAUGCUUCACUUUUAGAUGGUGUGAUACCUUUCUAUGGAUAAUAUUGAUAUAUUUUUUUUUAUAAAAAUUAUGAUGUUUAUAUUAUUUAGUAGCAUAUUUGUGUGAUUUUUAAUUUUUGUAAUCGCGCGAAGUACAAAUAACUACACUAUUUAUAUAAGUAAGGAGCGCUUUAGAGGGAUUUACUGUGAGUCAUUUCACUCAGGAAAAAUAAAGAAAGGAUAAUCAAUUGUUUAAGUUGUCAAUAAUUUUUAAAAUAAAUAAUUUGAUUACAGAAAGGCCUAGUAAGGUCCGCUCGAGGUUAUCUUUCUCUUAAUUCAAUCAAUAGCAGCUGUAAAAUUGCUAAUCAAUAACCUAUUACGCGUACAUUUUACGGUACAAUUAUGUUAAAUUUUUCUCACCUCACCCUAAAAAGAUAAAGGAUAAAAUAAUUCAACAAAAUUGUCUUGUUUAGUACUUCGUCCAUCUUAAUUUACACUAGUAUUAUUCUAUUUUUCUUUUAUAUUUUUCAUGCAUUGUCUAUUAGCAAAGAAAAUUAUUAGUAGUAGUAGUAGUAUUUUUGAAGUCUACACUUGGGAUUAAUUUUCUAGCAUCGUCUGUAAACAUAUACCUGCACGAUUAAUUCCGGUUAAUUUAUCAAUAGAUAUCCAAGUUUCCGAGAAACUCAUUUUGUCUUUUGGGAGAUAUAUUUAUCUUUUAAUUCGUAGAGACUUGUUAAGUUGUUAUAAAAUUGUGUAAGGCAUUAAAUUAUAUGCAAUAAGACUUUAUUAGAGUAAAAUUUAUUGUAUGACUUGACCAUAAGCGUAAUUCCACAUUUAAUAAAAAAUAAAAAAAAAGUCAUGCCAAAAACAUAAGAAAACCAGUUGUCUCAUUUAUGUUUACCUAAAUGUUGAAAGCGAUAUAUGCGUAUUAGCAGGCGUAAUUAUAGCUAGCGAAUUUGUCCCAUCUCUUGGGAUUAUUUUAUACCAUCUUUUAGAUGGUAUAAAAUAAUCCCGGAAUAAGUGAGAUAAAAAGGGAUAUCCUAUAUUUUAAAUUGGGAUGCAUUUUAUGCCUUGUUUGGUACAAGGUAUAAAUUUAUCCAAAUAAAUUUAUAUCUUCUACUAAAUAUGAUACAAAAAAUUAGUGCUGGAAUAUCUCAGCUUAUACCCUGCACCAAACGACCCCUAAAAAGAGUACAAUAAAUAGGAGGGAGUAAGGUGCAAAAAAAAAUAUUAACCAAAAAAUGCAGGGGCCACGUCUAAUGGAAAUGAAGAAAAGGAAUUGACUGUUAAAGUGGAUAGUCGGGCAAAGAAAUGGCAGUGGCAGGCUAGCAGCCACGUGUGUAUCCUCAGCCAAUCAAAAAUCUUGUAUUGCAAUGUGAGGACGACAAAAUUCGGUGAUGUUCCGUUAUAUCUUUUACUUUUACUACUAUUAUAGAAGCACGGGUUGAAGCAGGAUCGUCGUCAUUCCGAGGGCAUUUCGGUCAUUUCACGCAUGCAUUUCAAUCUGAACUCUGAGCCGCCACGUAAUUCAUAUUCUCGACCCUUCUUCUUGGCAAGGCCAAGGUAGUCUGCUAAAGUACUUUUUACACAUUCUGUCUCUUCAUUGUUUCCAAUACCCAAUUGACCAUCUUCUCUAGAGGCCCCAAACAAUAAACACAUGUAUGUAUACAAUAAACAUAGUCAUUGCUUUGAUGAAUUGAAGGGGCUAAAAAAAGGUUUGAGUUGUGUUUGAAUAGCGUACCAAGGUGGUUCUGGAAGCCAUACUUUUGUGGGUGCUCUCAGUUUACUGUGUAUUUUUCGCUGCUAAGUAAGAAAUACUUGGAGCUUUCACUUUUUUUUUUACAGUUUGGUGGAAAUCUGAUUUCAAGAAUCGCAGUAGACUCAAUUCCCAUUUCAAUAUAGUGCUUUUUCGGGUGUUUUAUGUCACAGUUUUUACAAGGAACAGAUUACUCUUGCUUAUGGCAUCCGUAGCAAGCUCCAAUUUGCGGGUGAAGAAAUACUCAUCUACGUCGAUGCUUCAAUUUUGGGCAAGGGUAAAAGCAAAUAGUGGAAGAAUCUGAGUACUAUGAUGUUCGUGGUGUUCCUUCUGUAGCAUCUCCAGAAGAGAUAUGCAGAGUCUAUUAUCUCAAGGUGAGAGGUGACAUUCUGCAAGUACUUCCAUUCUGUGAUUAGAUGUUUGUAGUUGUGACAUAGUUUUCAUACCUGAGAAGAGUUUUCCUACUUUGGCAGCGACUAGAUCUCGUCCCACUUUUGCAUUCAUGGCCAAAAUCAACCAUUGGGACUCCGGCUUACAUUGCUCCAGAGGUCUUGUCCAAAAGAGAAUAUGAUGACAAGCUUUUCUGAUUCCUUGAGAUAGCUGUUUGCGUGGUAUAGAGAUUUUGGAAGCUGAAGAGUGGAGAUGUGUGAAUUUUCAGCCUCUAUACAAGUGAGAGUUAUCUUUAGGUGGAAUUCCCCCUCCCCCCCCCCCCCCCCCCCUAACUACCAAUGGCACUAAUAAGCUCAUAUGUAGGGGUUGGACAAGAUUACCAGUCUAUGAAGCUUAUUUUUGUUGGGGAACACCCUUUUAUGUUGGCUCUGUUGGCAGACAAAUAUGGUCAUUCAAUUGAAGCAUGGGACUAUUUGAAUGAGAACACAAGUAUGAACACAAUAUAGAUAUCUGCAUCUUUCCUUUCUUAUGUUAAACCAUAUCAACAUUAUUAAUUUGAAGGAGUGAAAAUAUAGAGCCUGCAUUCAGUGUGUGA
Long non-coding RNA from Lycium barbarum (goji berry), 3690 nucleotides. RefSeq lists it as uncharacterized. NCBI's taxonomy places the organism in Eukaryota, Viridiplantae, Streptophyta, Magnoliopsida, Solanales, Solanaceae. The transcript has 7 exons. The record is from RefSeq and is a predicted model, not a curated record.